GAUUUACUAGCUCAGUUGGUAGAGCACAUCCCUUUUAAGGAUGGGGUCCUGGGUUCGAACCCCAGGUGGAUCAC
RNAcentral lists this transfer RNA (74 nucleotides) under Bacteroidales bacterium. RNAcentral's name for it is "tRNA-Lys". It matches the Rfam family "tRNA". Rfam says of the family: Transfer RNA (tRNA) molecules are approximately 80 nucleotides in length. Lineage: Bacteria; Pseudomonadati; Bacteroidota; Bacteroidia; Bacteroidales. The record is from RNAcentral.